GAACAACACUAUCCCAAAAAAAUUUCAUGUCCAGUGUCUCAGGAUAAAGAAUCUAAUCAUCUUCAGAUGUUCUUUACAGAGGCUGAAGAAUGUUCAAUAGAUCUUCCUUUGGUGUGAAGAAUGUUUGAAAUACCAUGAUUAGCCAAAAUCGCACAUAUCUUUUUAACCCAAAAUUCCUUUAAGAAACAAAGAAUUCCUGAACUGGACUGCUGAACAUCAUUGUAAAUAUUCAAAUGUUGGAGCGAGACGAACUUUCAAGACCAAAGAACUUCUAGGUCAUUGUGCAUCACAAAAAACAGUACUGUAGCCUGUUCGACUGUUCGUGUAAUAAAUGCAGUUUUACUGUGGAAUUCAUUCGUAUCAAAUGUAAAUAUAAAUUAGUUGGUAUGUGAUCAAACCUACUGAGAAACCCUUCGGGCUUCACAGGAUUUGAUCACAUGACCAACUAAGUUCAUUUCCCAGAGAACUUUUUAACAUUGUUGUUUAUUUCUUAAGUCACUUCAACUUCAUUG
This is a long non-coding RNA of Saccostrea cuccullata (small rock oyster), 512 nucleotides long. RefSeq lists it as uncharacterized. The record is from RefSeq and is a predicted model, not a curated record. The transcript has 3 exons. NCBI's taxonomy places the organism in Eukaryota, Metazoa, Mollusca, Bivalvia, Ostreida, Ostreidae.